RNAcentral lists this small RNA (122 nucleotides) under unclassified sequences. RNAcentral describes it as "LOOT RNA". It matches the Rfam family "LOOT RNA". From Rfam's summary of the family: Latescibacteria, OD1/Parcubacteria, OP11, TM7. The record is from Rfam by way of RNAcentral.
AGCCUAAACCAUCGGAGAAAUCCGAUGGCAUGGCUCAAAAGACCCAUCGCUGAUACUGAACCCCGCGUUCAGCAACUCAGCGAUGGGCCAUAUCCCGAAAGGGGUGUGGGGCCGCAAGGCCU